GACGAACGCUGGCGGCGUGCUUAACACAUGCAAGUCGAGCGGUAAGGCCCUUUCGGGGUACGACGAGCGGCGAACGGGUGAGUAACACGUGGGUGGACCUCGCCCUCCAGCUCUGGGAGUAAGCCUGGGAAACCGGGUACUAAUACUGGAUAUGACUCCAUGACGCAUGUUGGUGGGGUGGAAAGCCUUGUGCGGCUGAGGAUGGGCCCGCGGCCUAUCAGCUUGUUGGUGGGGUGAGGCCUACCAAGGCGACGACGGGUAGCCGGCCUGAGAGGGCGACCGGCC
This 285-nucleotide ribosomal RNA is filed under the name uncultured bacterium. Its description in RNAcentral is "partial 16S ribosomal RNA". It matches the Rfam family "Bacterial small subunit ribosomal RNA", at positions 28 to 309 of the family's 1533-position model. The record is from RNAcentral.